UUUGUCCUACGGGGGGCAGCAGCCGCGGUAAUACGUAGGGAGCAAGCGUUAUCCGGAUUUACUGGGUGUAAAGGGCGCGUAGGCGGGAUGGCAAGUCAGAUGUGAAAUCCAGGGGCUCAACCCCUGAACUGCAUUUGAAACUGUCGUUCUUGAGUACUGGAGAGGUUGACGGAAUUCCUAGUGUAGCGGUGAAAUGCGUAGAUAUUAGGAGGAACACCAGUGGCGAAGGAGGUCAACUGGACAGCAACUGACGCUGAGGCGCGAAAGCGUGG
This 272-nucleotide ribosomal RNA is filed under the name uncultured bacterium. RNAcentral describes it as "partial 16S ribosomal RNA". It matches the Rfam family "Bacterial small subunit ribosomal RNA", at positions 492 to 764 of the family's 1533-position model. The record is from RNAcentral.